CGCAGCCGCGGUAAUUCCAGCUCCAAUAGCGUAUAUUAAAGUUGUUGCAGUUAAAAAGCUCGUAGUUGAAUUUCGGGAUUGACGUGAUGGUCGUGCCUUAAGGGGUAUGAACUGUUGCUGUUGAUUUCUCACCUUCUGGAGAAACUUGAUGUCCUUAAUUGGGUGUCUUGCGGAUCCAGGACCUUUACCUUGAAAAAUUAGAGUGUUUAAAGCAGGCAUUUUGCUCGAAUACAUUAGCAUGGAAUAAUAGAAUAGGACGGCAUGGUUCUAUUUUGUUGGUUUCUAGGAUCACCGUAAUGAUUAAUAGGGAUAGUUGGGGGCAUUAGUAUUCAAUUGUCAGAGGUGAAAUUCUUGGAUUUAUUGAAGACUAACUACUGCGAAAGCAUUUGCCAAGGAUGUUUUCAUUAAUCAAGAACGAAAGUUAGGGGAUCGAAGACGAUCAGAUACCGUCGUAGUCUUAACCAUGAACUAUGCCGACUAGGAAUCAG
RNAcentral lists this unclassified non-coding RNA (488 nucleotides) under uncultured Glomus. RNAcentral's name for it is "SSU rRNA". It matches the Rfam family "Eukaryotic small subunit ribosomal RNA", at positions 569 to 1056 of the family's 1831-position model. Lineage: Eukaryota; Fungi; Glomeromycota; Glomeromycetes; Glomerales; Glomeraceae. The record is from RNAcentral.